Pongo abelii (Sumatran orangutan) is the source of this 107-nucleotide Y RNA. It matches the Rfam family "Y RNA". Rfam says of the family: Y RNAs are components of the Ro ribonucleoprotein particle (Ro RNP), in association with Ro60 and La proteins. The Y RNAs and Ro60 and La proteins are well conserved, but the function of the Ro RNP is not known. NCBI's taxonomy places the organism in Eukaryota, Metazoa, Chordata, Mammalia, Primates, Hominidae. The record is from Ensembl.
AGCUGGUCUGAAGGUAGUGAGUAAUCUCGAUUGUUCAGUCAGUUACAGAUUGAGCUCCUGAUCUACUCUUUCCCUGCUUCUCACUACUGUACUUUGACUAGUCUUAA